Molecule: ribosomal RNA, 468 nt
Filed under: uncultured bacterium
Lineage: Bacteria
Description: partial 16S ribosomal RNA
Rfam family: Bacterial small subunit ribosomal RNA
Source: RNAcentral
GACGAACGCUGGCGGCGUGCUUAACACAUGCAAGUCGAACGGAAAGGCCCUGCUUUUGUGGGGUGCUCGAGUGGCGAACGGGUGAGUAACACGUGAGUAUCCUGCCCUUGACUUUGGGAUAACUUCAGGAAACUGGGGCUAAUACCGGAUAGGAGCUCCUGCUGCAUGGUGGGGGUUGGAAAGUUGCGGCGGGUGGGGAUGGACUCGGGGCUUAUCAGCUUGUUGGUGGGGUAGUGGCUUACCAAGGCAUUGACGGGUAGUCGGCCUGAGAGGGUGACCGGCGACAUUGGUACUGAGGGACGGACCAGACGCCUACGGGAGGCAGCGGUGGGGAAUAUUGCACAAUGGGCGGAAGCCUGAUGCAGCGACGCCGCGUGUGUGAUGACGGCCUUCUGGUUAUAAACCGCUUUCGCCUGAGACGAAGCGUGAGUGACGGUAAUGGAUAAAGAAGCACCGGCUAACUACGUG